CUGACCUAUCAACUCGAGACGGCGGGGUAGAGGCCCGCCGCGGUAACGACGGGUAACGGGGAAUCAGGGUUCGAUUCCGGAGAGGGAGCCCGAGAAACGGCUACCACUUCCAAGGAAGGCAGCAGGCGCGCAACUUACCCUAAUCUCGAUUCGAGGAGGUAGUGACAAGAAAUACCGAUGCGGGGACCCUACGGGUGCCGCGUUCGGAAUGAGUACGAUUCGAACCACCUAACGAGGAACGAUCGGAGGGCAAGUCUGGUGCCAGCAGCCGCGGUAAUUCCAGCUCCAAUAGCGUACGUUAAAGUUGCUGCAGUUAAAAAGCUCGUAGUUGAACGUUCGGGUUCCGCGGGACGGGGCCGCCCCGCGAGGGACGGCGCCGCCCCGGGGCUCGUGAUAUCUCAUCUCGCCGCCCGUCGCGAGGCGGACGGAGGGAUGGAUGAGGUUACCUGGAAAAAAUCGGGGC
Molecule: ribosomal RNA, 463 nt
Filed under: uncultured eukaryote
Lineage: Eukaryota
Description: bacterial SSU rRNA
Rfam family: Eukaryotic small subunit ribosomal RNA
Source: RNAcentral